Molecule: ribosomal RNA, 442 nt
Filed under: uncultured soil bacterium
Lineage: Bacteria
Description: bacterial SSU rRNA
Rfam family: Bacterial small subunit ribosomal RNA
Source: RNAcentral
AGAACGAACGCUGGCGGCAUGCCUAAUACAUGCAAGUCGAACGAAGGCUUCGGCCUUAGUGGCGCACGGGUGCGUAACGCGUGGGAAUCUGCCCCUUGGUUCGGAAUAACAGUUGGAAACGACUGCUAAUACCGGAUGAUGACGAAAGUCCAAAGAUUUAUCGCCAAGGGACGAGCCCGCGUAGGAUUAGCUAGUUGGUGAGGUAAAGCUCACCAAGGCGACGAUCCUUAGCUGGUCUGAGAGGAUGAUCAGCCACACUGGGACUGAGACACGGCCCAGACUCCUACGGGAGGCAGCAGUAGGAAUAUGGACAAUGGGAGAAAGCCUGAUCCAGCAAUGCCGCGUGAGUGAUGGAAGCUUAGGUAGUAAAGCUCUUUACCGAGAUGAUAAUGACAGAGUACGGAGAAAUAACGCCCGGUACUAACUCGUCGCAGCAAGCCGC